CAGUCGCCGCGGUAAAACGUAGGUGGCAAGCGUUGUCCGGAAUUAUUGGGCGUAAAGGGCUCGCAGGUGGUUUCUUAAGUCUGAUGUGAAAGCCCCCGGCUCAACCGGGGAGGGUCAUUGGAAACUGGGAAACUUGAGUGCAGAAGAGGAGAGUGGAAUUCCACGUGUAGCGGUGAAAUGCGUAGAGGUGUGGAGGAACACCAGUGGCGAAGGCGACUCUCUGGUCUGUAACUGACGCUGAGGAGCGAAAGCGUGGGGAGCGAACGGGAUUAGAUACCCCCGUAGUCCCUGUCUCUUAUAC
Molecule: ribosomal RNA, 301 nt
Filed under: uncultured bacterium
Lineage: Bacteria
Description: partial 16S ribosomal RNA
Rfam family: Bacterial small subunit ribosomal RNA
Source: RNAcentral